GUGAAGAACGUAGCGAAAUGCGAUACGUAAUGUGAAUUGCAGAAUUCAGUGAAUCAUCGAAUCUUUGAACGCACAUUGCGCCUGCCAGCACUCUGGCAGGCAUGCCUGUUCGAGCGUCAUUUCAACCAUCAAGCCCUAGGCUUGCGUUGGAGCCCUGCGGCUGCCGCAGGCCCCUAAAAGCAGUGGCGGGCUCGCUAUCACACCGAGUGCAGUAGAUUACUCUUCGCUCAGGGCGUGUGGCGGGUUCCAGCCGUGAAACCCCCUACUUCUCAAGGUUGACCUCGGAUCAGGUAGGAAUACCCGCUGAACUUAAGCAUAUCAAUAAGCGGAGGA
Molecule: unclassified non-coding RNA, 333 nt
Filed under: soil metagenome
Description: partial contains 5.8S ribosomal RNA, internal transcribed spacer 2, and large subunit ribosomal RNA
Rfam family: 5.8S ribosomal RNA (bases 2-119)
Source: RNAcentral